This 26-nucleotide non-coding RNA is filed under the name Cricetulus griseus (Chinese hamster). Lineage: Eukaryota; Metazoa; Chordata; Mammalia; Rodentia; Cricetidae. The record is from RNAcentral.
AUGGCUCAGAGGUUAAGAGCAAUGGC